CGUUGGUGAACCAGCGGAGGGAUCAUUACCGAGUUUACAACUCCCAAACCCCUGUGAACAUACCAUUUGUUGCCUCGGCGGUGCCUGCUUCGGCAGCCCGCCAGAGGACCCAAACCCUUGAUUUUAUACAGUAUCUUCUGAGUAAAUGAUUAAAUAAAUCAAAACUUUCAACAACGGAUCUCUUGGUUCUGGCAUCGAUGAAGAACGCAGCGAAAUGCGAUAAGUAAUGUGAAUUGCAGAAUUCAGUGAAUCAUCGAAUCUUUGAACGCACAUUGCGCCCGCCAGUAUUCUGGCGGGCAUGCCUGUUCGAGCGUCAUUUCAACCCUCAAGCCCCCGGGCUUGGUGUUGGAGAUCGGCGUGCCCCCCGGGGCGCGCCGGCUCCCAAAUAUAGUGGCGGUCUCGCUGUAGCUUCCUCUGCGUAGUAGCACACCUCGCAAUGGAAAACAGCGUGGCCACGCCGUUAAACCCCCCACUUCUGAAAGGUUGACCUCGGAUCAGGUAGGAAUACCCGCUGAACUUAAGCAUAUCAAUAA
RNAcentral lists this ribosomal RNA (533 nucleotides) under uncultured Ilyonectria. RNAcentral describes it as "eukaryotic LSU rRNA". The stretch from base 163 to 316 matches the Rfam family "5.8S ribosomal RNA". Lineage: Eukaryota; Fungi; Ascomycota; Sordariomycetes; Hypocreales; Nectriaceae. The record is from RNAcentral.